UCACGGCAGAGGAUAAUAAUUUUACUAGACCAAAUCCGAAAUGAAGUUGACUCUCGUCGCCAUAUUUGUACUUGCUUUCGUCAUCACAGCACGCGGCUGCAGCACAAGCGCCAAAGAUGGAUGCGUGGACAUUGGGUGUACCGAUCGGUCAGUGCUCACUUGCAAGGGCGACGGCUGUAAAUGUACGAGCUUCUGGUGUGUACAUCAUCUGUAUUACUGCCACAAAUAACAACGUGACUGGGAAGGCUGACGAACAUCGAGCCCUCCGGGUCUGCAAUAAAUGUUGCGAAACGUGC
Molecule: long non-coding RNA, 296 nt
Organism: Ornithodoros turicata
Lineage: Eukaryota; Metazoa; Arthropoda; Arachnida; Ixodida; Argasidae
Exons: 3
Source: RefSeq, a predicted model, not a curated record